Molecule: ribosomal RNA, 381 nt
Filed under: uncultured Mycobacterium sp.
Lineage: Bacteria; Bacillati; Actinomycetota; Actinomycetes; Mycobacteriales; Mycobacteriaceae
Description: bacterial SSU rRNA
Rfam family: Bacterial small subunit ribosomal RNA
Source: RNAcentral
UACGUAGGGUGCGAGCGUUGUCCGGAAUUACUGGGCGUAAAGAGCUCGUAGGUGGUUUGUCGCGUUGUUCGUGAAAUCCCACGGCUUAACUGUGAGCGUGCGGGCGAUACGGGCAGACUAGAGUACUGCAGGGGAGACUGGAAUUCCUGGUGUAGCGGUGGAAUGCGCAGAUAUCAGGAGGAACACCGGUGGCGAAGGCGGGUCUCUGGGCAGUAACUGACGCUGAGGAGCGAAAGCGUGGGGAGCGAACAGGAUUAGAUACCCUGGUAGUCCACGCCGUAAACGGUGGGUACUAGGUGUGGGUUUCCUUCCUUGGGAUCCGUGCCGUAGCUAACGCAUUAAGUACCCCGCCUGGGGAGUACGGCCGCAAGGCUAAAACUC